GACUGGUGGCGGCAGAGCAACAGAGUCUGUCUGGUCCCGGCGAAACUAGCGGCGGUCGAGGGGUGCGACGACGAGGUGGGGACGGCGCUCCAGGCCUCGCCCAAGGGUCUCAGCUCCCUCACUCUCUUCCGCCCCUUCGUCCAGUACUCCUGCUACACCCCGGGUACACGGCCACCCGCUGCCCUCGGCGCCUUCCUCUGGGCCUCGGCCACCUUCCUCCAGGGACCAUGGAAUCAUUGCCAUCGUAGGCCCUCUCACUGGAUUUGUAAUGUCUUCUGUUCCAACUUCACCUGGAGGAGAGUUAGGUCGAAAGAUAUGGGACCUCUCAGAAAUCCUUUUUCGAGCUUUAGAUCUGUCGUGGCCCUCCAUUUCCAGAACUUGUUCUACAGAUAACAAGGUUUUGUACACAUGAAAUGGAUAGAUUCCUAAGCUCCAGAUUGGCUUCAUGUGCUACGCUGCUGGUUGAUGAUUAGCUUCCCCAUUGAUGAAUACAGGGAUACAGGUGUAGGUCAGACACUGUUAUAAUCCCACAGCUUAGGUUGAUGUAACAUAGACCAACAUGAAUUUAUCCAACCCAACUCUUUAAUCUCUAAACAUGAACAAUCUUAUCUUUUCCCUACUCAUUUGGAUUACACAAGAAGUUCUUUUAGUCAUACAUGUGAGGUCAAAUUUUCUUUUGUUGUGUCCUUAAAUCUCUUGUCUUCUUCUCUAUGGGAAUCUUCGAUCUGUGUGAACUUUUGAUGUCUUUAUUUGUGCUUCUUGACUCCACAUAUCUCAUCUUUAACCUUUUGUGUCUUCUAGUUGGCCUUUCCUGAUCCUUGACAUUGUUGCAGUUGCAGGACUUUUUUAUCUUAUUAAUAAUGCAGCAGUUAUUUCAGUUUACAAUCUCUGGACUCAGCUGAUACAAUUAAAAUAUUGUUUUUGGACUUCAAACUUCAAAGUGUGUGCUCUUUCCAAUAGCUCCAAUCUGUUUGUGUUCUAUUCUUUAUUCUAUUGCAACUUUUAUUUGAAAAAUGGAUAUUGGUCAGUGCUGUCAAUAUAAAGUCCAAAAAAAAGUGUCUGCAAAAGAGUGUCAAUGAAUGUGAUGUUAGGUUCAAACCAUUUUUUACUUUUUGUUUCAUAUCAUACAAUCUUAUGUCUCUGUACAAAAGCUAUAAACUUUCUUUAAAUCACCUGCUAAUUUCAUUUUCUUUUC
This is a long non-coding RNA of Musa acuminata AAA Group (dessert banana), 1195 nucleotides long. RefSeq lists it as uncharacterized. The transcript has 3 exons. Lineage: Eukaryota; Viridiplantae; Streptophyta; Magnoliopsida; Zingiberales; Musaceae. The record is from RefSeq and is a predicted model, not a curated record.